This 1593-nucleotide long non-coding RNA is filed under the name Lytechinus variegatus (green sea urchin). Its description in RNAcentral is "uncharacterized LOC121408203". Lineage: Eukaryota; Metazoa; Echinodermata; Echinoidea; Temnopleuroida; Toxopneustidae. The record is from RNAcentral.
AAGCAAUUUAAAUUAGAGUUUAAACAAGGAAAAAUGUACAAAAUUCUUGAUAAAUUUAUAUUUAAAAUAAUACUACGGUAAUCCUCAAGGUUCCACUUCCGUCUAUCUCUGGAAACAAAUGUGUCUGUCUAAAGGGGAAAAAAACAAGAGUGCUAGCUUACAUGUAUGAUCUCCAAAUCUUUAUUACUUUAAAAUAUCUCCUUCACGAUAUUACUCUCAAAUGUACAUACCUCCGUUACAUGGACAUCAUGUCCUUGUAAUGAUCAUAUUGAAUAGUAUUACAUGUACUUGCCAUUCUUUUAGUAUCAACACACUAAUGCGAGUUAACUCAUCUUACUCAAGUGUAGAAAUACAACAUCUACAGGCAAGCUUCUAAAAUGCAUCAAUGAACAGGUUACAAGUUUAUGAACUUCAAGAAGAUCGGUGACCCAAUGACAACUGUGUCAGUUGGGAGUUUGGAAGAGGACUCUGUCAAUGUCACAAAAUAGAUAGAGGUAGAAUUGUGCUUCGCCAUCAGGCCAGGAGUACAGGUCAACGGAUUGACACUUCAUGUACUGAAGAUAUACAUUUUUACCUUCAACAGAGGCUACCUGUAGUUAUUUGAGAAAAAUAUUAUUUGGAAGUUUGACUAUUUUUUACACAAUUCAAAUUAUUACAUUUUAAUCAACAAAACUUGCUGGAUUGUUUCCACGAUAUUAUUAUAUGAAAUCACUUACCCAUGUACAUGUCUUGACAUUUUCUCAUUAAAGUAAGGGGGUGGAUUACUAGGGCAAUGACAAGGAAUCUGAUCUGUUCUUGCAAAAUACACCCUCACUUUGUAUUUUUUUUCAUAGCAAUUAGAAUUCAUCAUUUCCUAGUUCAUAAAUUAAAUAUAAAGUUAUGUUUUAUACAAGGUUUUUGUAUUUGCUUUCUUGUGGUCUACUUUGUUUUCACAAUACAAUUACUUGCCCAUUACCGAUACCUUUUCAUAAAUUAUCUAUUUCGUUUCUCAAUGGAUGAAUUUAAUCUAAUUUUAUUCUGCAUUAUAAUCAAGGGUGGUUAUCUCGACAAUUCCAUUUAGUUUUGUAUGACCAUCCUAUUUAAUUUUCAUGUACGAAGUUUAAUUGUUCAAGCAAUUACAUAAUAUAUUUAUGUUUUAUUGGAAUUAAAUGAAUUAAUGGAAUUCAAAUCUGCAAUUUACCUUCUGAUACAGCAAAUAAACUCUUGUGAAACAAACUCGAUUGUGUCACUUUUUCUUUUCUUCGCUUGUACAUGUUUUUAAAAUGUCGUUAUAUUGCAAUAAAAAUAAUCACAUUGAAAACAAUCACAAAGGCUUUUGCUUUCUGAUAAAACAAAUACCCACCCCCUCUCCUGACAAUUGAAUAAAUAUAAAUUAAAAUACGAUUGAAAAAGUCCUUAACAACUGAAUAUAUAGAAAUAAAAAAAAAAAUUGAAAAAACGGAGAAAGAAAUGAGGGAAAAAGAAUAAGUGCUGAAAGUAUACCAACAUUCAACAAGAUGAAGUUUUGGGAAGGUUAAGCCUACAGCUAAGAAUUACUAGUAAUUGAAUUAUUCCCAUGCUUCAUCAUACACAAAGCCCAUCUAUGUGUAGGGG